AAGAGCUCUGCAAGCGAAACAAAAACGCAUUAGUUUCAGCCGGCGGUAUGUUUGUCUUUCCCUGUAUUUGCACUUGAGUUUCGAUAUGAUGCUUGUAGAAUUAUUACGCAUAAAAUCAAAAAAAAAGUACUUCCUUAAGCAGCUUUAGUAAUAAUGGAACAGAAGCAAUGCUGAGUAUGUGGAUGGAUGUCUGGUACUCACUUUGAAGUGUUGAAGGACUGUCCUGUUGAACAGUGCGGUGUCCAGUUCAUCCUUGGAUUCCUAAACAAACAGUAUAAGAAACUUUUCAUUUCAAAAUGACUGUCAUGCUGUGAUGCACCUGACUGAAAUGCUUUUAAGACUGAAGCCUGAUAGACACUAAAUAAGGCAAAACCUUCUAAAAGUUAAGCAACUGAAAGCUACUCACAUAGUAGUCUCGGAUGAUGGAGUAUGAAGAACGAAGUGCUUUCAGUCUGACUGGAAAUCCCUCAACGAAAGAGCAGCAACUGUCUUGGCAGGUGAUCCUUUUGCACUGAGCAGCCCCAAGCAGCAGAGCAGCCAGCAAAGAAAGCAGGAGGAACCUAAGCAGGAGCAUUCUCGAAGAUCUCGUCACGCUGGUGUUAACCCUUUCGUAAGCCUGCAGCUGAAUCCUCGGGGGAGGAGAAGUGAAGAUAAGCUGAGAGGUGCCUUUUUAUAGGCCAAAAAAUUUCUUCCCGUUUGGAGGUGGAUGGAUCCUGGCGGAAACUUCCCAGACUUGCACGCAGAAACAUGAGGUGAGGAUCGUAUCAGAGAUCCUGGAGCUGUACCCUGAUUCAUCUAAGGUUAGUAUUAAAAUACACAGUCACAUUUGUCAGUUUGUUAAAUGGUGUGUUUUAGAUGACUGGUAGUUUAUCAUUGUCACUGUUCUUUAAUUCCCAUCUCUGCUAAUUUCCUCGGAUGUGUUUUGAUCAGGUUUUUGUUUUUUCAAGAGCGAGUUCUUUACAAGAAUCUAAUCAUUCAUUAGAUUACCUGGAGUAAAAAUAUAUGAGUCAGAAUUUGUGCACUCCUGACCGAAUCUGAGACUUGAAAAGAACGCUUCAAGGUAGUUGCGUUAUGAAAACAUCCUCGCUUGAUGCAGUAGAUGGUAUAAGGGGCAGCAUGACGCUGACACAGAUAUUCCCGUUUACACCAAUACACUUAUCAUAGACUAAUUUGGUUGUGACGAACAUUGUGGUUGAUACUUUUUGUGUGACAGAGAUGGUAUUAAUAAUGUCUAUACCAGGUUUAUUAUGUCCAAGAUCAAGAUCUAAAAUAAUCUAAGAUCUAAAAAGGUGUCAAAGUAUGAUGAGUAUCUUACGAACUGCAUCAGCAAAUUCACAUAUGUCACAUGGGUUUUUUUCCCCCCACAUUUGCACAUUGCGAAUCUUUAUUUUCCACAUUUGCCACCAGUUACCCUGUAAUAAAUUUUUAUCUAAAAACAGUUAGUUUGAUCUGUGAUGUCAUUUUGAUCCGUGAUGUACAUCAAAAAUUAAGAUCAGAAAUUCUCAGCAGUCAGAGUUUCCAAACAAUGGUAGUUUUUCUGAAAGGGGAUUAUUGUUAUUUACUUUAUUGUUGUUGUUGUUGUUGUUGUUGUUGUUGUUUUGUUUUUUUAAAUGCCAAAUGUUCU
Molecule: long non-coding RNA, 1624 nt
Organism: Hemibagrus wyckioides
Lineage: Eukaryota; Metazoa; Chordata; Actinopteri; Siluriformes; Bagridae
Exons: 3
Source: RefSeq, a predicted model, not a curated record